RNAcentral lists this ribosomal RNA (266 nucleotides) under uncultured bacterium. RNAcentral's name for it is "partial 16S ribosomal RNA". It matches the Rfam family "Bacterial small subunit ribosomal RNA", at positions 524 to 789 of the family's 1533-position model. The record is from RNAcentral.
UACGUAGGGUGCGAGCGUUAAUCGGAAUUACUGGGCGUAAAGCGUGCGCAGGCGGUUUUGUAAGCCAGAUGUGAAAUCCCCGGGCUUAACCUGGGAAUGGCAUUUGGGACUGCAAGGCUGGAGUUUGGCAGAGGAGACUGGAAUUCCUGGUGUAGCAGUGAAAUGCGUAGAUAUCAGGAGGAAUACCGAUGGCGAAGGCAGGUCUCUGGGCUAUAACUGACGCUCAUGCACGAAAGCGUGGGGAGCAAACAGGAUUAGAGUACCCG